GACGAAUCGAGCGAACGUUGUUCGGAAUCACUGGGCUUAAAGGGCGCGUAGGCGGGUGCUCAAGUCCGUGGUGAAAUCCUCCGGCUCAACCGGAGAACUGCCUCGGAUACUGGGCGUCUCGAGUGUGGUAGGGGUAUGCGGAACUAUCGGUGGAGCGGUGAAAUGCGUUGAUAUCGAUAGGAACUCCGGUGGCGAAGGCGGCAUACUGGACCACCACUGACGCUGAUGAGCGAAAGCGUGGGGAGCGAACAGG
This 253-nucleotide ribosomal RNA is filed under the name uncultured bacterium. RNAcentral describes it as "partial 16S ribosomal RNA". It matches the Rfam family "Bacterial small subunit ribosomal RNA", at positions 524 to 776 of the family's 1533-position model. The record is from RNAcentral.